This 614-nucleotide ribosomal RNA is filed under the name Baculifera remensa. RNAcentral's name for it is "mitochondrial SSU rRNA". It matches the Rfam family "Bacterial small subunit ribosomal RNA", at positions 351 to 1006 of the family's 1533-position model. Lineage: Eukaryota; Fungi; Ascomycota; Lecanoromycetes; Caliciales; Caliciaceae. The record is from RNAcentral.
ACUUGAAGGAAUGUAUAGCGNNNGCNNAGUUGCGUUUAACUAAGCGAAAGCUAAGUAGGUGCAAUAUUGACUAUGUCAAAUAAAGUUCUAGGUAGAAUUAUGAUGAUGACAUUGUCUAUCUAUGUGUCUUGACCAAAUUACGUGCCAGCAGUCGCGGUAACACGUAAAAGACUAGUGUUACUCAUCUUAAAUAGGUUUAAAGGGUACCUAGACGGCCAAUCAAGCCUAUCAAAAAGGUACUAAUAGGCUAGAGUUUAAUAUAAGGAGGCAUGAAAGUACUGAGAAUGUAGAGAGAUGAAAUUCUGUGAUACUAUAUAUGGCACUGGUAAAGGCGAAAGCAUCUUAUUAUGUAAAAACUGACGUUGAGGGACGAAGGCUGUGUGUAGCAAAAAGGAUUAGAUACCCAAGUAGUCUCAGCAGAAAAUGAUGAAUGUCAUAGGAUAGAUAAAUUUUGUACUAUAAAUGAAAGUGUAAACAUUCCACCUUAAGAGUAAUUUGGCAACAUUGGAACUGAAAUCAUUAGACCGUUUCUGAAACAAGUAGUGAAGUAUGUUGUUUAAUUUGAUGAUCCGCAAAAAACCUUACCACAAUUUGAAUAUAAAAAUUUUUAUACA